Molecule: non-coding RNA, 28 nt
Filed under: Bombyx mori (domestic silkworm)
Lineage: Eukaryota; Metazoa; Arthropoda; Insecta; Lepidoptera; Bombycidae
Source: RNAcentral
UUCUGGUCGUGCUGCCGGUGCUAAAGAC